This is a long non-coding RNA of Ipomoea nil (Japanese morning glory), 173 nucleotides long. RefSeq lists it as uncharacterized. The record is from RefSeq and is a predicted model, not a curated record. Lineage: Eukaryota; Viridiplantae; Streptophyta; Magnoliopsida; Solanales; Convolvulaceae. The transcript is spliced from 3 exons.
UUGGUAACUCUGGUUUUGGAAUUUCUGGCAGCUCAGGCUUUGGCAAUGUCAUCUCCAGAAGGUCUCUGGACUCGAGCGCCGGUGACAGAGAGAUCAAGAAAAGCAGGAGAAAGGAUGGGUUGAGAUGAUGAGCCAUUCUUGGUGGUGAAGAUGUUUUCAGAAGAACAUAUAUA